This is a long non-coding RNA of Cornus florida, 837 nucleotides long. RefSeq lists it as uncharacterized. The transcript has 2 exons. The record is from RefSeq and is a predicted model, not a curated record. NCBI's taxonomy places the organism in Eukaryota, Viridiplantae, Streptophyta, Magnoliopsida, Cornales, Cornaceae.
UUCUCUCUUUAUAUCGAUAGACUUCAGGUUUGAACAAACCCUAACUUUCUCUCCCCUCAUCCUUCUCUCUCUCUAUAUCGCCUUCCUACCGAUCUCCCGCGAAAGUCGAAACGAGCAACGAAACUCGCAACCUAUCGGCGACUCCCUCUAUCUCACAUCUCUCAACAACUCCCUCACCUCUAUCUCACAUCUCUCAGCGACUCCCACUAUCUCACAUCUCUCAGCGACUUUCACGAAAGUCGAAACGCAGGUCUCGCCACUAGAAAACAGGAUUUUUUUGUGUGUGUGUCACUGUGUGUAAUGCCUAUCUGGUGGCAAAAGAAAAUUUCUAAUCGUUUGAUUGAUGAGUGCGAAGUGAGAAAUGAGCAUUUAUAAGGAAAUGAAUGAUUUUCUGGACUUGCUGAUUACAGAGUCAAAAGUGGAUCUAAGGGUAUGGUUGGAAACUUUGAGACGUACCCUUGAACAUUUCGGAGGGUUUGGUGAAUCUGGAAUCGAGGGUUGAGAUACUACUGGUACUAGUCGUCGCCUUUCGAUCAUCUUCUCUUCUACUGUUGUUUUUUGUGAAUGUGUCGUUGCUCUUCAUGGCUUCUGGGCAAUGACCAUGAUUUGUUUUUGAUCUUCACUAAUCUCUCUCUCGGAGCCGGUCUUCUUUAAACUUAAAUCAAAGCUCAUCACUCAUUACAUAUAAACAAACAUCAAUUAGUAGCAAGUGAAUGUUAUAUUCAUUUUUUUCCUUUCCUCUCUCUUUUAUUCUCCUCCUCUUUUUUUUAUUUUGGCUUUUCCUUUCUUGUUUUUAGAAUAAUUAUUAUUAAAAAGAAUAAUAAGAUAUUGAGGUUA